Molecule: RNA transcript, 1340 nt
Organism: Hibiscus syriacus
Lineage: Eukaryota; Viridiplantae; Streptophyta; Magnoliopsida; Malvales; Malvaceae
Gene name: solute carrier family 25 member 44-like
Exons: 7
Source: RefSeq, a predicted model, not a curated record
UUCUUUUCUUCGAGGGGAAACACGCUUUUGAUUUUCUGACUACGCCAACAACCAUUUCUGGAACGUUCUAGCUCUUCAUCUCCUUCCCCUCGAACCCAUUAAAACUCCAUACUCUGUCGUCAAUGCCCUGAAUCCAUAUGGCUUUGGAUACCGACUCACUCACUCCCCCAAAACUAUCCCUUUCCGAUACAGAGAUCGACUGGUCUAGGUUGGACAAGACAAGAUUUCAUGUUAUCGGGGCUGUCCUCUUCACAGUGCAGCAAGGAUUAAUACAUCCGACGGCUGUCGUCAAGACAAGAAUGCAAGUGGUUGAUUCUAGGUUCUCCAAUAUGCCUGGAAUUCUUGUGUUCAAGCAUAUAUUGAGACAUGAUGGUAUCCCUGGCAUUUUUCGAGGUUUUGGAACAUCAGCCAUUGGAUCAUUGCCUGGUAGGGUUCUGGCUUUGACGUCCCUUGAAAUGUCAAAAGAUUUGAUUUUGAAGUAUACCCAAGGCUGGAAUAUGCCUGAAACAACUCGUAUUGGCCUUGCAAAUGGGGUGGCUGGCUUGUUUUCCAGCUUGAUCUCUUCCCUCUACUUUGUGCCAUUGGAUGUGAUAUGCCAGAGACUUAUGGUGCAAGGACUGCCUGGAGCAACGUUUUACACUGACCCUUUUGAUGUAGCCCGGAAAGUGAUAAAAGCUGAAGGAUUUCGUGGACUGUAUCGAGGUUUCGGAUUAACAGCUUUGACUAAUUCCCCGGCAACUGCACUUUGGUGGGGUGCCUAUGGUGCUGCCCAACGGAUCAUUUGGAGGAGCCGGGGUUAUAGAGAUGACUCAGAUAAGAAGCCCUCUCAUGUGGAGAUGGUAGCUGUGCAGGCCACUGCAGGAAUGGUAGCUGGUGCUUGUUCCUCUGUUAUCACCACUCCCAUUGACACCGUAAAGACACGGCUGCAGGUCAUGGAUGAUUACGGUGCUGCGAGACCGUCAGUACUCAAGACUACAAAGACACUCUUGAAGGAAGAUGGGUGGUGGGGUUUCUACCGGGGCUUCGGUCCUCGGUUCCUAAAUAUGUCACUUUAUGGAACUACGAUGAUCGUUACGUAUGAACUGAUAAAGAGGUUAUCUAUAAAGAACAGUUAAUGUUCUUCAACCGCGGAUCUGAUCCUGGGAGCUUUUUCUACUUCAUCUAAGGGCAUUUCAGACAUGGAAUGAAGCAGCUGUAAUUGGAGACUCAAGGGUUCCUUUUUGUCAAUUGUAGUAUGCGAGAAGGCGAAAAUCAUUCUUUUUGUGGUCAUAAGGAAUGCUGAACAUGUGUGUUAAUGGAAGCAGAGUAUAUGUUUCUAACAGUCAUUGUAUUCGCACUUA